GGUUGACCUCGGAUCAGGUAGGAGUUACCCGCUGAACUUAAGCAUAUCAAUAAGCGGAGGAAAAGAAACCAACCGGGAUUGCCUCAGUAACGGCGAGUGAAGCGGCAAGAGCUCAAAUUUGAAAUCUGGCCCCUUGGGGUCCGAGUUGUAAUUUGCAGAGGAUGCUUCGGGUGCGGUCCCCGUCUAAGUGCCCUGGAACGGGCCGUCAUAGAGGGUGAGAA
Molecule: ribosomal RNA, 221 nt
Filed under: Talaromyces duclauxii
Lineage: Eukaryota; Fungi; Ascomycota; Eurotiomycetes; Eurotiales; Trichocomaceae
Also listed under: 1 other name
Description: partial 28S ribosomal RNA
Rfam family: Eukaryotic large subunit ribosomal RNA
Source: RNAcentral